CGCGUAUACAAUCUGCCCCCUACUGUGGGAUAGCCCAGAGAAAUUUGGAUUAAGACCACAUGGUACCAUAUUACGGCAUCGUAUUUAUGGUUAAAGGUUACGGUAGGGGAUGAGUAUGCGUCCCAUUAGUUAGUUGGCGAGGUAACGGCUCACCAAGACCGCGAUGGGUAGGGGCCCUGAGAGGGGGAUCCCCCACACUGGUACUGAGACACGGACCAGACUCCUACGGGAGGCAGCAGUGAGGAAUAUUGGACAAUGGGCGGGAGCCUGAUCCAGCCAUGCCGCGUGCAGGAAGAAUGCCCUAUGGGUAGUAAACUGCUUUUAUACGGGAAGAAAAAGGGGCACGUGUGCCCCACUGACGGUACCGUAAGAAUAAGGACCGGCUAACUCCGUGCCAGCAGCCGCGGUAAUACGGAGGGUCCGAGCGUUAUCCGGAAUUAUUGGGUUUAAAGGGUCCGUAGGCGGGCAGCUAAGUCAGUGGUGAAAGUUUGCAGCUCAACUGUAAAAUUGCCUUUGAUACUGGUUGUCUUGAGUUAUGGUGAAGUUGCCGGAAUAUGUAGUGUAGCGGUGAAAUGCAUAGAUAUUACAUAGAACACCGAUUGCGAAGGCAGGUGACUAACCAUAUACUGACGCUGAUGGACGAAAGCGUGGGGAGCGAACAGGAUUAGAUACCCUGGUAGUCCACGCCGUAAACGAUGGAUACUAGCUGUCCGGGCUCCUUG
Molecule: ribosomal RNA, 722 nt
Filed under: Cellulophaga sp. J2109m
Lineage: Bacteria; Pseudomonadati; Bacteroidota; Flavobacteriia; Flavobacteriales; Flavobacteriaceae
Description: bacterial SSU rRNA
Rfam family: Bacterial small subunit ribosomal RNA
Source: RNAcentral